Molecule: long non-coding RNA, 5250 nt
Organism: Ostrinia nubilalis (European corn borer)
Lineage: Eukaryota; Metazoa; Arthropoda; Insecta; Lepidoptera; Crambidae
Exons: 2
Source: RefSeq, a predicted model, not a curated record
GCAUUCAGUCCAAGACGGACAGAGGCAGGUCAUACAGGCGCUCAGCGACCAGCUGGCCAGGCAACUAGAGGAGCUGACAACCAUCCACCGCGAGAUAAACACUGCGUUGCAAACAUGAGACGCGGCCAUACACCCGCCGCCGCCGAUCUACGCGUCCGUACAAAAGGAGCGGCGACCGCUGCCUCUGCUGCUGCAACAACAACCAACACAACAACAACAACAACAAGCAACAACACAACAACAAAGGCAGCGACAGCCGCCGCGGCAGGCGAGGAAGGACGGCGAGGAGCCGACCUACGUGACGGUCAAGACGAAGAAAUGAUGAGUGCUCUCGGUAUUUCGCAAGGUGCAUGAGUUUUUUUAAGUUUUUUUCGGUUGUAUUGAGAUGGUGGUUUCAUUUAGUCACGUGAUUCGUUGGAAAACUGUUGGGUUUCUUUUUGACAGAUGAUGGAUACUAAUGCCCGUAUUCACAAACGAUGCUUGCUUAAGUGGAGCAGCAAAUCAAACGCAGUGUCACCCUGUGCGUCCACGCGCACUGUGAGACCUCAUAGUAAUACGGGCAUUAAUAAUAAUGAGUAGUUAUUCAUUAUCAAAACAAAUGUCGAAAGGUUUGCGAAUUUUGACGGAUACGUAAGUACAUACCGAUGUUGUAAGUUUAACUUAUUUGAAAGCGUGUAAACAGCAAUAUUAUUUGGUACUGGUUUGCUAACACAGAUGGCGUUGUUACGAAUCCAAAUCGCGGUAGUGCUUUGUUUUUGCCACUUGUAACUAUUGUAAAUGAAAUAUUCAAAUGCCGUUUUGUUUUUGGCUUAGUUUUCUCCAUGAUUUGCAUUCUACGAAAACGGUCAACUGAUAAAAUUUGACUAUAUUGCGAUUCGGAAUAACGAUACAGCGCCAUCUCUUGUUUGAUAGUUAAACUGUGUGCUAAAUGGCAUGCUGUUAUAAGAAAGACCCGACGCCUUUUGAAAUGAUAAAUAUUUGUAUUUUAAAUGAAACCAUCAAGACUCUUGUAUAAAAAACACGCCACCGGCUUCCCAAUUUGUAUAAUUUUCCACCACUGUAUAAUAUAAGUACACGAGAAUUAUAUUUAAAACGCGGUGCAACUGUUGAUUUGUGCGAUUUUUGUGCAAUCACUUGAUCUCUAAUACGUCAGUAAAUAUGUUUUUUGAGAUGUUUAUAAAUAGCGUUAAAGUUUAUAAUGAUCCAGACUAUUGAAAGUUCCUCUAAACGAUUUGUAUGCUUUCUUAAACAAUUCUCAAAAAUGGGUCGCUGAAAAUGUUUAGUCUCAAUUCAAGUUAAUGAAAUCUGUGUGUUUACCAUGAGUUUACAUAGAAGUGUACGUUAGUCACUGCGUAAAAAAAUGUCAUGAAAUGUAUGACAGAUUGUACAGCGCCCCUAGCGGUUCCUUUCAAGAACUAAAAUCUUCAUAGAUUUUUUGACAUAAGCUAACGAUGACGUAUAAUAUAAACUCAUGAUAAAGCCAUUGUGCUGUACGUUCUUAAAUCCACUGGAACUUGAAAUUGCUAUUUGACAGUGAAUUGUAGAUCCAGGUGUGUACUCAUGUUGGCUUACGAGCGAAAGAGAGAGCUUUGCCUCAUAUUUGCGUCUCUUUCUCUUGUAUCAAUUUAAGUUCUGGGUAUUGUGAAUAUCUGAUCCGAUUAUGGCAUUAUCCUUUGUUCAAUACUUGACGUAAAAUACGGCAUAUCGAGUAUAAUCUUACUGCACACGAAAUAAGAGUGAUUUUUGCAGUGCUGCUGUAUUUGUUUUUGAAUACUCUUGUCUCUUUCUUCCUCGAUCGUUUUGAUAUACAAAGGAUAAUGACUUAAUAAUUAAUUACCUCAUCACGCUGCAUUAAUUUGACAAGCACCAUCUCUCAGACAGAGAUAGAUUACUUCCACAAAGUUUCGUACUUGUCAUCCUAACAUUGUCAUAAGACGUUCAUAUUUCGAAUAGUAUUUUGUCCUUAUUACUCGCUUCGCAGUAGUAAAGGACGAGAAUACUUCAGCCAAUAGUUGGCGCCAUUUUCGGCCCAACGGCAAACAAUGACGUGUACAUUAAGGGUGGUUGCAAUAUUAAGUUUAGGCGUGGCAGAAAAUCAACCUUACGUCAGUGUACAUACGUUACAUAUUCGUGUAACCACGAACACAUGCCAAAAAAUUAAUAUUUUCUAUUGAUUAAUGUAUAUUUUAACGUAGUCUUCGAUAACGUGUAAGUGACAUAAUAUUUGCACGGUGAAAUACCGAAUUUAAAUUAAAAUUAAAUUAAAUAUUUAGAUCUUCGCCUGAGUAUUCAAUGGACGGGCAGUGCCAUGUCUCUGUAUAUUAUACUACUUACGUUAACCACUAAAAAUUAAAUUAAAAAACGGGCCAAUGGUAGCUCGAGUGUAGGCGCAGUCGCAUCGAAGUUAGAACAAUGAAUAAGAUGCUUCGAUCAAAUUGUUUUUUCGGUAAUGAAGCGUAAUUUGUAGGCGUAAAGUUUACGUUUGUCACUUCUGACCUGUUUCUUGGGAUUCCUUAGUGAUGUUCGACCGCUUUAUUUAGACCCGAGAUUUAAUUAAUCGAUACCUAUUAAGGUAGCUUACAAUGUAACUUUCGAUAAAUAAUAGAUCAGUGGCCUAAUUCACGUAUUUUGACAGUCAAGAUCUCGCUGACGUUCAGAAGUCGUCCCAUUGAAAAACAGUUCUAAAUCCGUAUUCAUAAGGGUCAUUUCGAUAGAACGAUUACUCGAUAGGAUCGCAUUCAGCGAUGUUUUGUUACGUGACUAAAGCUAUAGAUAUAAAUAAUUCUUAGAAUCUAAUUCAACGUUGUUAAACUUUGUAAAAGCUGGCUCAUAAUAUUUUGCUUGUUUGCUAUGUUUGAUAUUUGAUUUGAAAUCAAAAAAUAUUAGGUUGGUUGACUUUGAAAGGCAUUGCUUGUAGUGACGUCAAAUGUCAUCAGAUGUAACAUGUUAACAAUGAAAGCUCCCUUAUUCCUUGCGAAAUAAAGGUGUGUUUUAAAGAAACUAACCUCAGUAAGAGCCACAGAACAAUAAGAAAAAAAUAGAAAAGGUUCUAAAUAUCGCGGUCGAACAUUCAAACACAUCGAUCUGUAUUGUGCAUUUGAUUCGCAUUGCAUUUCCUUUCUCGAAUAGUCUCCUCGUAUAGAUUGUCUAUGGAUAAACAUUUUUUUCACUUACCUACUGUGUAGGGUAUAUUCAAUGUAACAUUUUUGUGACGUUUUUAAAUGUAAAUGGCGACUUUCCGCGUUCUUUAUUUAAAUCUCUUGACAGUUCUAGUUUUGUAUCUAUCCCAUUCUCACCUUAGGAGUGUGAAAAGGAUAGCAUGUCUUGAGGUUCAGAUUGAGAAUGAUUGGAUACAGUCUUAUAUUAUUCUGUAAAAAAACUCCCUAGUCGUAAGUAUAAAUGCGUACAUCACGAUAUCCGUCUUAUUUUAAUGUUUUCAGAUCUUUUAAACGUACUUCUCGGUUUUUAUUUUUAUUUUCUUGUGUUUCCAAACCCUGUACCUAGAACCCUUAGCAAAUUAGUGUUUACUAUUCGAAUGAGAAUGUUCAUCUGUUUAUUUAUUGUUCAUCGUUUUAAGUUAUAUUUUUAUUUCUAUUUAAAUUAUUCGUUUAAUAAAAUCAGUAUUUAUUUUAAAAGACUGCCUUUUAGUUUAGUUUUUUAUUUAUUUUGUCCAUUCGUGUCGCAGAUGAACGAUUCUCAGUCGUUAUAAAAAUAAAAAAAUUAAAAACCAAAUAAUAUCAUUGAAAGGCUGAGGACGAUUUUUAAGAUAUACAAUGUCUUCUUAACAGGGUAAUUUCAUUUACUGUUGCAUAUUUUUGAAUAGUGAUGUUGUUAUGGAUUUUUACUCUUAUCUACUUGUAACAAGGUUCACUCUCGUAGGAACAGUCAGCGUCACUCGAGCGUUUUUUAAACGCCAAUCUAACACGUGAAUUGACUUAACGCGUUUUAACGCACGCAAUUUUAAUGUACUCUUAAAAUUCUACUUAAAAAUUAAUGAACAUAACUAAAUCUAAUAGCUCAUUAAAAAUCUCUUCCUUUACUCAUUAUUUUUCUUUUAUAUUAAACUCGAACAACUUUAAUUUAUAGGUAAAUAAAUAAAAUUACGUAGUUGUUAGAAAUGAAAAAUUAAUGUUUAUAGUAUUUCACUAUUUAUUUACAUUGUAAAUCUGUUUAUCACAAUUAUUAAUAUAUAAAUAGAUAAAAAAUUAAGUAGGAAGCGAAAUGAUCUGUUGGUAUUGACGAGUUGUAAUAUAGAUUAGGUAUUUAAGUGUUAUUUCCCGUAUAAUUUGUAUACUUGUUAAGUGUGAUUACAAUAUAAUUAUAGUAUAGAUAAAUAUAGUAACUAAAAAUUAUAUAAUAAAUAAUUAUCUAAAUGUGUCUGGCUGGGAGAUGACAUUUUAAUGAAACGAAAUGUUUUAAUGAAUGAUUAAUGAUAAAUUUAAUGAUAGGUACCUAGCAAUGGCCGCUCCCACCGAUCGUAUGUUAGUGCCAACCUAAAGUCCGUUACCCGAAGCCGUUGUUAGGUAUUUGAAUGUAAAAUUGUUGUAUUGUAAUCGCAUUAUAGUAUGUAAUUAUUCAAAUAUUGUCAGAUAGUCUGCGAUGCUAUUGCUGCUUCAAUAUACCUUUAUUUCUACGUUUAUUUCAUGAACUAACCUCCAUUUUUGUAUCAUUUUGUAGUGUGUUAGUACAUCUUGUGAAGUCCUAUUUAAAUUAAAGUAAACAAAACUAAGGCUCAUACUACGAAACUACGCUCAAAAUUUGAUUCUAUUUCAGUCAAUAGUUUCUGUUCUGUGAAUGGUAAAAAAUAUUUAAAUUCAACCAAGAAAAAAUCUCAAUCUUCUUGAGCUUAAGUUCAAGACAAAACUCAGAAAUACAUUUAUUUUGAGUUAAGAUUUCUAUUUGAGUGUAGUUUUAUAAUACGUGUCUAAUAUUUCCAAAUGUUUACAUUCCACAUAGCAAACUGAAAGCCUUUAAACCUAGAUGGCGUUAGUAAGCCAGUAAUGUUGCCAUUAUAAAAAAUAUGGUGUCCACAGACAGUUGAAAUAAUGCCUAUAUCUUCGUAUUACUUAUGUUUUGAGCCUAUUUUACCCCGUUUUUGAAAAUAUAUUUACCACUCCUAUGGGAUUGUAGUAUUGUAUUUAUGUUAUUUGUAAUGUACCGCAGACUAUUGUAAGUGUACGUAAUAUCUUCCACUAGAGCCGUAGUCGCUGUGAACCAUUGCAUAUUAACAAUAAAUAAAUAUUAUGAAAA